Molecule: unclassified non-coding RNA, 329 nt
Filed under: plant metagenome
Description: partial contains 5.8S ribosomal RNA, internal transcribed spacer 2, and large subunit ribosomal RNA
Rfam family: 5.8S ribosomal RNA (bases 1-105)
Source: RNAcentral
GAAAUGCGAUAAGUAAUGUGAAUUGCAGAAUUCCGUGAAUCAUCGAAUCUUUGAACGCACAUUGCGCCCUCUGGUAUUCCGGGGGGCAUGCCUGUCCGAGCGUCAUUGCGAACCCCUCAAGCACGGCUUGUGUGAUGGGCCCUCCCGCGUCUUGGUCGUCAAGACGGGCCCGAAAUGCAGUGGCGGCUUCGCGGUUAUCCGAUCAGCCAGAGCGUACGGGGACUUUCUCUCUGUCACACGCCCGCGGCGCGGACCGACGCCUGUCGACCUUCAUUCAUCGUUUUCUCGGUUGACCUCGGAUCAGGUAGGGAUACCCGCUGAACUUAAGC